This 253-nucleotide ribosomal RNA is filed under the name uncultured bacterium. Its description in RNAcentral is "partial 16S ribosomal RNA". It matches the Rfam family "Bacterial small subunit ribosomal RNA", at positions 524 to 776 of the family's 1533-position model. The record is from RNAcentral.
GACGAACCGUACGAACGUUAUUCGGAAUUACUGGGCUUAAAGGGUGCGUAGGCUGUGCGGAAAGUUGGGCGUGAAAUACCUCAGCUUAACUGAGGGACUGCGUUCAAAACUACCGUGCUCGAGGGAGACAGAGGUAAGCGGAACUGAGGGUGGAGCGGUGAAAUGCGUUGAUAUCCUCAGGAACACCGGUGGCGAAAGCGGCUUACUGGGUCUCUUCUGACGCUGAUGCACGAAAGCUAGGGUAGCAAACGGG